GGCGCGUGCUAUACAUGCAAGUCGAACGAGUUCUGAUUAUUGAAAGGUGCUUGCAUCUUGAUUUAAUUUUGAACGAGUGGCGGACGGGUGAGUAACACGUGGGUAACCUGCCCUUAAGUGGGGGAUAACAUUUGGAAACAGAUGCUAAUACCGCAUAAAUCCAAGAACCGCAUGGUUCUUGGCUGAAAGAUGGCGUAAGCUAUCGCUUUUGGAUGGACCCGCGGCGUAUUAGCUAGUUGGUGAGGUAACGGCUCACCAAGGCAAUGAUACGUAGCCGAACUGAGAGGUUGAUCGGCCACAUUGGGACUGAGACACGGCCCAAACUCCUACGGGAGGCAGCAGUAGGGAAUCUUCCACAAUGGACGCAAGUCUGAUGGAGCAACGCCGCGUGAGUGAAGAAGGCUUUCGGGUCGUAAAACUCUGUUGUUGGAGAAGAAUGGUCGGCAGAGUAACUGUUGUCGGCGUGACGGUAUCCAACCAGAAAGCCACGGCUAACUACGUGCCAGCAGCCGCGGUAAUACGUAGGUGGCAAGCGUUAUCCGGAUUUAUUGGGCGUAAAGCGAGCGCAGGCGGUUUUUUAAGUCUGAUGUGAAAGCCCUCGGCUUAACCGAGGAAGUGCAUCGGAAACUGGGAAACUUGAGUGCAGAAGAGGACAGUGGAACUCCAUGUGUAGCGGUGAAAUGCGUAGAUAUAUGGAAGAACACCAGUGGCGAAGGCGGCUGUCUGGUCUGUAACUGACGCUGAGGCUCGAAAGCAUGGGUAGCGAACAGGAUUAGAUACCCUGGUAGUCCAUGCCGUAAACGAUGAAUGCUAGGUGUUGGAGGGUUUCCGCCCUUCAGUGCCGCAGCUAACGCAUUAAGCAUUCCGCCUGGGGAGUACGUCCGCAAGGUUGAAACUCAAAGGAAUUGACGGGGGCCCGCACAAGCGGUGGAGCAUGUGGUUUAAUUUGAAGCAACGGGAAGAACCUUACCAGGUCUUGACAUCUUUUGAUCACAUGAGAGAUCAGGUUUCCCCUUUGGGGGCAAAAUGACAGGUGGUGCAUGGUUGUCGUCAGCUCGUGUCGUGAGAUGUUGGGUUAAGUCCCGCAACGAGCGCAACCCUUAUGACUAGUUGCCAGCAUUUAGUUGGGCACUCUAGUAAGACUGCCGGUGACAAACCGGAGGAAGGUGGGGAUGACGUCAAAUCAUCAUGCCCCUUAUGACCUGGGCUACACACGUGCUACAAUGGAUGGUACAACGAGUUGCGAGACCGCGAGGUCAAGCUAAUCUCUUAAAGCCAUUCUCAGUUCGGACUGUAGGCUGCAACUCGCCUACACGAAGUCGGAAUCGCUAGUAAUCGCGGAUCAGCACGCCGCGGUGAAUACGUUCCCGGGCCUUGUACACACCGCCCGUCACACCAUGAGAGUUUGUAACACCCGAAGCCGGUGGCGUAACCCUUUAGGGAGCGAGCCGUCUAAG
Molecule: ribosomal RNA, 1457 nt
Filed under: Lacticaseibacillus rhamnosus
Lineage: Bacteria; Bacillati; Bacillota; Bacilli; Lactobacillales; Lactobacillaceae
Description: bacterial SSU rRNA
Rfam family: Bacterial small subunit ribosomal RNA
Source: RNAcentral